Molecule: ribosomal RNA, 468 nt
Filed under: uncultured bacterium
Lineage: Bacteria
Description: partial 16S ribosomal RNA
Rfam family: Bacterial small subunit ribosomal RNA
Source: RNAcentral
GAUGAACGCUGGCGGCGUGCCUAACACAUGCAAGUCGAACGGAAAGGCCCUGCUCUUGCGGGGCUCUCGUUUGGCGAACGGGGGAGUAACACGUGUGUAACCCGUCCCUGUCUUUGGGGUAACAUCAGGAAACUGGGGCUCUUACCCGGGAGGAGCUCCUGCUGCAUGGUGGUGGGUGGAAAGUUUCGGCUGUUGGGGAUGGUCUCGCGGCUUCCCAGCUUGUUGGUGGGGUUGUGGCUUUCCCAGGCUUGCACGGGUAGCCGGCCUGAGAGGGUGACCGGCCACAUUGGGACUGAGAUACGGCCCAGACUCCUACGGGAGGCAGCAGUGGGGAAUAUUGCACAAUGGGCGGAAGCCUGAUGCAGCAACGCCGCGUGCGGGAUGACGGCCUUCGGGUUGUAAACCGCUUUCGCCUGUGACGAAGCGUGAGUGACGGUAAUGGGUAAAGAAGCACCGGCUAACUACGUG